RNA transcript from Manihot esculenta (cassava), 3661 nucleotides. It is a transcript of the gene named glycine oxidase, with no coding region annotated. The transcript has 10 exons. The record is from RefSeq and is a predicted model, not a curated record. NCBI's taxonomy places the organism in Eukaryota, Viridiplantae, Streptophyta, Magnoliopsida, Malpighiales, Euphorbiaceae.
GCCGACGAACAUUUACAGCGUUUAAAAAUUAAGGAUGAAAAUAUAAUUUACCACAAUUACAGCGUCUAGAAAACGCCUGUGAUGGUGAAUCGUCACUGGACCUGUCACCGAGUUGUCUAGGAUCUGCUGACUGGUUGACUCUCUCAGGCUGAAGUGCUACUUGCCUAGAAUCGCUCUUCUUCUCCCCAAGAGUAGUGGUCUUAUCACCACUGAAACAUUGAUCUAAUCGAAAAUGGCUUCCAUCUCGCUAUAUUCUCCGCCGUACAGUUCAUGUAAACGUGACGUCGUUUCACUUCCAAGGAAGCAUUUAUGUCCCGCCACUUUCAAAACUAGCUUCUUUGGCUCCAACUUCCCAGUGAAACCACUUUCGAUCUCAAAUCAAAAUACCUCAAAACUCCGACCUAAAACUGUUACCUCAGCUUCUACUCACACCUUCGAUGUCGUGAUCAUUGGUGCCGGAAUCGUCGGGUUAACUAUUGCCCGGCAGUUCCUGAUAGGAUCGGACCUAUCUGUCGCUGUCGUCGAUAAAGCCGUCCCUUGUUCUGGCGCCACCGGUGCAGGGCAGGGCUACAUAUGGAUGGUGCACAAGUCACCGGAGAGCGACACAUGGGAGCUCACAAAGAGAAGUCACAAACUGUGGGAAAUGCUUGCCGAGGGCAUCUCUUAUCAGGGCUUGAGUCCAUUAGAGGUGUUGGGAUGGAAGAAAACCGGAAGUUUGUUAGUGGGUAGAAACCCUGAAGAGGCUGAGAGUUUGAAAAGGAGGGUGAAGCAGCUCUCUGAAGCUGGACUAAGAGCAGAGUAUUUGUCCUCUCAUGAUUUGCAUUUGGAGGAACCUGCACUAGAGAUUGGGGAAAGUGGUGGCGCUGCCUUUCUUCCCGAUGAUUGUCAAUUGGAUGCUCAUCGGGCUGUUGCCUUUAUUGAAAAGAUUAAUAGACAGUUUGCAUCAAAAGGGAGAUAUGCAGAGUUCUAUCAUGAUCCUGUGAUGAGUUUGUUGAGAUCUUCUACCAACGGAGAGGUUGAAGCUGUUCGGACUUCCAAGAAUACCUUGUACAGUAGGAAGGCCAUUAUAGUUGCAGCUGGUUGUUGGAGUGGGUCUCUGAUGCAUGACCUGUUUAGAGAAUCUGAUACUGCUUUAAAUGUUCCUGUUAAACCUCGGAAGGGUUACUUGCUUGUGCUUGAGAACUUUAGUUCCCUUAAAUUGAAUCAUGGCGUGAUGGAGGCAGGUUAUGUUAAUCACUAUGGUGCAGGUAAGCAACUCUCGAAUUCAGCAUCAGGACUGGAUCAUGGGGAAAAUCUGUCCGUUUCAAUGACAGCUACAAUGGACUCAAUGGGAAAUCUUGUUCUUGGGAGCAGCCGUCAGUUUUUGGAUUUUAAUACUGAAGUGGAUGAAUCUAUUGUUGGUUAUAUAUGGAACCGGGCUGGAGAGUUCUUUCCCAAACUAAAAGAGAUGUCCCUAAGAGAUUUCACCAUGAGCCGAAAGCUGAGAAUAGGCUUGCGCCCUUACAUGCCUGAUGGGAAGCCGGUGAUUGGGCCUUUGCCUGAUUUCAAGAAUGUCCUCAUUGCAACUGGGCAUGAAGGUGGAGGACUUUCUAUGGCUUUGGGUACUGCUGAAAUGGUUGCUGAUAUGGUUUUGGGCAAUCCUGGGACUGUUGACUAUACACCAUUUGCUGUUCAGGAUAGAUGUUGUUGAUAAAUUGUGUGCCAAUGAAGAGAUCAGAAGAUUGACACGUUUUCAGGGUUGCUGGUUCUCAGGGAAAUUUUAGGUCACAGGGAAUAAAGUUUUACUACUGUAGUUGCUGGCAAAUUGGGUCAGUGGAGGAAUUGGAUUAUUGGUGCUAGUUUAGGCUAUCAUUAACAAGUUCAACAGAAGUCUGUGAAGGAUGGGGAAACCUGUAAACAUCGAAUUCGUGCUGGAUUUACUCCUGCAAGCAUUUGAUGUCCAAACUCUUCAUCAUCCCUCCAGGCUAAGUCGUCCUCUGGAAAAUAUAUGCAAGCUUAGUUUAUAAAUGUUAAAAACAAAUAAAUGAAACAUCCAUGUUUUUUAGACUAUAAAUUGUAAGAGCAGGUUGCAAGCUGCAUCACCUGUUAUAAUUUGAGGCAAUGGGAAUUUUAUGGACUGUUUGCUUGCAUGAAUAAUAUCUUUAAAAAGCUCAUCUGUUACCAUUUUCUUCAGUUUAUCUUUGACUGUUUCCUCUAUUUGAUAUCUCUUUCUAGAGAACAGGUUACUUAUCUCCUCAAAUGACUUGAAACUACUUGAUCCUUGUUUGAGUAAGGAAUUUGCUUCAGGAAUAAGGAAAUGUACUGCAGCCUGGACUGAAUUUGAUAUGAACUCUGAAAGCUUUUUGGGGCCUAAUCGCUCAUCUGGAGGAACAUAUGUAUCCAGGUUGAUAAUUUCUGGCCGACUCUUGGUAGAAGGAUCUAUAACAAAGUGAUAGCAUAUGAAAUUGUGAAAGUCAUGCAGUGAAAUAGAAUUGCAAAAAGAAAGAAGAAUGGGGGAGGGGGAUAUCUUUUCACCUCCCCAGAUAGAACCGAGUUAUAAAGUUAGAUACCAGUGCUGCUGAUAGGAAGACCUGUUCUUCCCCUUCUAGGAUAUGGAUGUGAUUCAGAGCCACCCAAUAUUGGUCUACUGUGCUUUUGAUCUUUAUCUGGACGACCAAGAUUAUUGUAGUAAUCAUAAUCGUAGAUUCGAUCCCAUUCCUUCCUCUCUCCAGUUCCGUCUCCUCUCAGGCUUUUAAGUUCUGACUUUCUUAGUUCCAGCAAAGCACUGGGUGUUUGUUUUGGCAGAUAACUCUACCAGCAGAACAAGCUUAUGGUAUUUAGUUGCUUUUUAAUGUAGAACUAUAGCAUUUAAAUGUUCUGUUUUUUGUUCAACUUACGGUGUUUGAGAAGAACAGGCGAUCCGAUUUUGUAUUCUGGACUGGGUAUACCCAAGACCUGCAGUCAAAGUGGAUGAUAUGAUUGUCUAGAACUUCAAGCGUAGCAGAUUCAAGGAAGAACUCAUGUUUAUGAUGGUUAGUUAUGAGAAAUGCUCCUGGAAUUCCAAACUCUCGCUCAGUGUAGAGCUUUAUUUUAUAUGUUAUUGUUUUCAUGUCAUCGUUCUUCUUGCUCUUUCCAUGCUUGAGGUGGGCUUUCUGGCUCAACUUCCCUUUGCCUGUGCCUGUCAGGAACAAUGCCAACUAUGAGAUCAGCAAGACUUCGAUGUAUCCUUACUUGGGUGAUAGAAAAUUUACAGUUCUUUCAGAAACUCUCAAGUUAGUUGCUCUGCUUAAAUAUUACAUAGAUGAUAUAACUUCUGAGGGUGAUAGAAAAUGAUACAAGUCAAAAUUCCUGAACUUAUGAUUGUGCAACUUACUUGGGUCGAUUGCAUUGCUGCUAUAAAUCUGUACAGAUGCUGAUUUUUCAGGACCUGAUUUCCCUUGAGUUUGAAGAAUGACAAAGUUUCCCUUGAUAAGAGUCUGCUGAUUUGUAAUCUUGCUCUGGAUGGCUCUCAUGUAUGCUUGCAGGCUGGAGCAUGAGCCGUGGGUUCCCAUGAUUAUUUCUUUUCCCUUUUCUUAGCUACGCUCAAUCUCUAAUCCCAGAAAAGAUUCUUGUAUGAAACCUGAAGGAUUUGGUGGAGUGAAAUUUUGGUAAUGGGAAUUGAUAACUUGGGAAAUUUAAGUGC